Amblyraja radiata (thorny skate) is the source of this 157-nucleotide long non-coding RNA. RefSeq lists it as uncharacterized. Lineage: Eukaryota; Metazoa; Chordata; Chondrichthyes; Rajiformes; Rajidae. The record is from RefSeq and is a predicted model, not a curated record. The transcript is spliced from 3 exons.
AGAUUUAAUAGGAAUCUGAGGAGUAACUUUUUCACACAAAGGGUGAAGGUAUAUAGAAUGAACUGCAAGAGGAAGUAGUUGAGGCAGGUAUAAUAACAACAUUUAAAAUAAAUUUGGAGAGGUACAUGGAUAGCAAAGGGUUUAGAGGGAUAUGGGG